UACGUAGGGUGCAAGCGUUAAUCGGAAUUACUGGGCGUAAAGCGUGCGCAGGCGGUUAUGCAAGACAGAUGUGAAAUCCCCGGGCUCAACCUGGGAACUGCAUUUGUGACUGCAUGGCUAGAGUACGGUAGAGGGGGAUGGAAUUCCGCGUGUAGCAGUGAAAUGCGUAGAUAUGCGGAGGAACACCGGUGGCGAAGGCAAUCCCCUGGACCUGUACUGACGCUCAUGCACGAAAGCGUGGGGAGCAAACAGG
This 253-nucleotide ribosomal RNA is filed under the name uncultured bacterium. Its description in RNAcentral is "partial 16S ribosomal RNA". It matches the Rfam family "Bacterial small subunit ribosomal RNA", at positions 524 to 776 of the family's 1533-position model. The record is from RNAcentral.